UAAGGGAUAUUGCACAAUGGGCGCAAGCCUGAUGCAGCAACGCCGCGUGCCCGAUGAAGGCCUUCGGGUCGUAAAGGGCUUUUCUGGCUGAAGAGAUAGACUGUAAGCCAGGAAUAAGUGUCGGCUAACUACGUGCCAGCAGCCGCGGUAAAACGUAGGACGCGAGCGUUAUCCGGAGUUACUGGGCGUAAAGCGCGGGCAGGCGGUCUGACAAGUCUGAUGUGAAAUCUCCGGGCUCAACCGGGAGAGGCCAUUGGAAACUGACAGGCUGGAGGGCAGUAGAGGUAGGCGGAAUUCCGGGGUGGAGUGGUGAAAUGCGUAGAGAUCCGGAGGAACACCAGAGGCGAAGGCGGCCUACUGGGCUGCACCUGACGCUGAGCCGCGAAAGCCAGGGGAGCGAACGGGAUUAGAACCCCGGUAGUCCUGGCCGUAACGAUGUGUGCUGGAUGGGUGGGGGUAAAACCCACACUGUCGAAGCUAACGCGA
This 486-nucleotide ribosomal RNA is filed under the name uncultured bacterium. Its description in RNAcentral is "bacterial SSU rRNA". It matches the Rfam family "Bacterial small subunit ribosomal RNA", at positions 355 to 860 of the family's 1533-position model. The record is from RNAcentral.